GAAAGGAUCUAGGGAGGAAGGGAGGCCAUGUCUGAGGUAGCAGAACAGGCCUCUGAACUCAGUGACCAGAAAAAGGGCUUAUUUCAUUGGCUACAGACACUGUGCACGAGGGAAAAGGCAAGGCAAGAAAUGCAGUACAAGCUUAAGGCUAUUUGAUGAAAACAAAUAGGAUCUUUUUGGUGUUAUUACUCAGUGAAAAAGCUAAGGGAAACUGGCCAUUCCUUGGUUGCUGCAAUCAUGCACAUUUGGCUCCCUAUUUACAGUAGGAAGCAAACCAAACAAAUCACCUCAAAGACAGACUCCACUGCAUGUUAAUCUAAACAUGCUUUCUGUUUGCACAGGAAGAAUGUUAUUUCUGACAUAUUUUGGAAACCAGUUUUGACAGUUUCCAACAUUUCGACCAUAAUAAAUGGUCUUUGUCAGGUUACUCUCAUGGCACUAGCCCCCACUGAUGCCCUUAGCAUGGGUGAGUCUGCUUGCACAGCAGUGUGCCAAUGCUGGGCUUACCACUGUGCUUCUGCUCGCUGGCAUUGGAGUUGCGUUAGGCUUGGGCAGUAUCCAGAUUUUCAGAUCAUCAUACCAUCCUUCUCUCAUCCCGGGAUUUAUGGUAUUACCGGAAUAGCAUACAAAGGGGUGCUAAAAACACAAAAGCCCACUGGGGCUAUAUUACCAGAAUGCUAACAAAAUUAGCACAAACUAAUAGCGACGUCACAUAGAUGCUGUUGGCUAAAUGCUAACGAGCUAAAACUAAUUGCAAAGAUGGGCAAAUCCAGCUCAUGAAGUUAUACAAGCUUAGCCAGUAGCUACCGAAAUGUAUUUUUCUUUGCGUGUGGACAUUUAUGAGCGCAAUUGUGCCAAUGAACAAAGUUGUGAGGCAUGCUUUUCUGAAGGAAGAGCAGCAUGUUUACACAGAGCAGAACGGAGCGGACAAAAAAAUGGCAGCUGUACAGAACUCAUCCAGAACUCAUCAAGCACUCUUUGACUUCUAGCAGAAAGCCUUUCUAAGAUAUCUAGCCUAGGAACGGUGGUUAACUGCCUUGUUCAGGGCCAAACCACAGAUUUUCACCUUAUCAGCCCGGGGGAUCCAAUCUUGCAACCUUACAGUUAACUAGUCCAACGCGCUAACCCACCCGCCUGUCAUUGCACUCCAUGAGGAGCCUGCUUGUUACGCAAAUGCAGAAGCCAAGGUAAGUUGCUAGCUAGCAUUAAACUUAUCUUAUAAAAAACAAUCAAUCAAUCAUAAUCACUAGUUAUAACUACACAUGGUUGAUGUUACUCGUUUAUCUAGCGUGUCCUGCUUUGCAUAUAAUCGAUGCAACGCUGGGGGAUGAUUUAACAAAAGCACAUUUGCGAAAAAAGCACAAUCGUUGGACUGUACCUAACCAUAAACACCAAUGCCUUUCUUAAAAUCAAUACACAGAAGUAUAUAUUUUAAAACCUGCAUAUUUAGCUAAAAGAUAUCCAGGUUAGCAGGCAAUAUUAACCAGGUGAAAUUGUGUCACUUCUCUUGCGUUCAUUGCACGCAGAGUCAGGGUAUAUGCAACAGUUUGGGCAGCAUGGCUCAUUGCGAACUAAUUUGCCUGAAUUUUACAUAAUUAUGACAUUGAAGGUUGUGCAAUGGAACAGGAAUAUUUAGACUUAGGGAUGCCACCCGUUAGAUAAAAUACUGAACGGUUCCGUAUUUCACUGAAAUAAUAAACGUUUUGUUUUCGAAAUGAUAGUUUCCGGAUUCAACCAUAUUAAUUACCAUAGACUCGUAUUUCUGUGUGUUAUUAUGUUAUAAUUAAGUCUAUGAUCUGAUAGAGCAGUCUGACUGAGCGAUGGUAGGCAGCAGCAGGCUCGUAAGCAUUCAUUCAAACAGCACUUUCGUGCGUUUUGCCAGCAGCUCUUUGCAAGCACAGUGCUGUUUAUGACUUCAAGCCUAUCAGCCUAAUGGCUGGUGUAACCAAUGUGAAAUGGCUAGCUAGUUAGCUGGGUGUGCGCUAAUAGCGUUUCAAACGUCACUCGUUCUGAGACUUGGAAUAGUUAUUCCCUUUGCUCGACAAGCCUUUUGUGGAGCGAUGGGUAACGCUGCUUCGAGUGUGGCUAUUUUCGAUGUGUUCCUGGUUCGAGCCCAGGUAGGGGCGAGGAGAGGCACGGAAGCUAUACUGUUACACUGGCAAUACUAUAGUGCCUAUAAGAACAUCCAAUAGUCAAAGGUAUAUGAAAUACAAAUGGUAUAGAGAGAGUCCUACAAAUACUAUAUUAACUACAACCUAAAACCUCUUACCUUGGAAUAUUGAAGUCUCAUGUUAAAAGGAACCACCAACUUUCAUAUGUUCUCAUGUUCUGAGCAAGGAACUCAAACGUUAGCUAUUUUACAUGGCACAUAUUGCACUUUUACUUCUCCAACAGUUUGUUUUUGCAUUAUUUAAACCAAAUUGAACAUGUUUCAUUAUUUAUUUGAGGCUAAAUUGAUUUUUAUUGAUGUAUUAUAUUAAGUUAAAAUAAGUGUUGUAAUUGUCAUUAUUACAAAUAAAUAAAUAAAAAUCGUCCGAUUUAAUCGGUAUCAGCUUUUUUGGUCCUCCAAUAAUCGGUAUCGGUGUUGAAAAAUCAUAACCGAUCGACCUCUAGUCUCAGUUGUUUAAUCUUAUGUUCAUACAAAUAUGUCCACAUGUUAAGUUUGCUGAAAAUAAAUGCAGUUGACAGCGAGGACGUUUCUUUUUCUGCUGAGUUUCAAAUUCAGCCCUCUUUCUCCCAUUGUGCUAUUUACAAACACACACAUGGCUGGUUCAACUCUUCUGGGGAAUGACGCUAAGCUUCAUACUGUAAAAUACUUUGACAGGUGAAAUGAAGAACGCAAUUUGCUUUAUGUUUUAACGUAUUGCCCAAGUUGACUGCAGUUAUUAAUUUUAACGUAGCUCCACAUAAUCAAAUUUAUUUCAACUUUUUUUUCUUUUGAUGGUAUAAUAUCCUGGUGAUUUUUCCAAAUCCCCUGGUGUACGGUAUAUCCCUUACACCGCCAAAGCCUAUCUGGUGACAGUACUCUUAGUCAGCUGCACACCAGGCGGUACCUAUACAAUAGGGUUCACUUAAAUGAUCUCCUUUUCCUUGUCUCCUAAUAGACGGUAGAGAGUAGCCUACCAGGUGGAGUAAAUAAGCACUCUCUCCUUGACGUGCAUGGAGAGGCUUCACUGCCUUGCCAUUGUCCUGCUAGACUAUAGUCUAACCUCUGUUCUCCACAAAAAGACUAAUCACAGACUUUAAAUCUAUGUGAGUUGAAUCUGUUUUAGAAUCAUGCACCUCAUUGUGUGGAACAUUGCAACCGUUUCGCCCUUUCCCCUCCUUAUCUGAGAAUAUGUAUAGCGCUCAUUCACCAAGGAUAUCAUCCAUGUUCUGCCAUCGAAAUGACUAUUUCCCAUUUUGGAAUGUUCUUAUCCCCUCUCCUGUCUUUAGUGAGUGUAAUCCAUUUGCCAAGUAAAUGCAAUAUGGUAUUUAGCUAGCAGCAAGGCAGACGGUUGAAACCUUUAGAUGCAACGUGGGAAGUUUGAAAGGCUCUUUUGGAGAUGUAACCCCCCCUCCCCCGUGCAGACUGUAAAGGGGUUUUCUCUUCUAUAGCACACAGUGUUCUGUUGGAAACCUCUGAACUGGCUGAUAUUCUCACCUGGCUGACAUCAUCCAUUCUUAGCCUGUUAGGAACACAGUAGUGUUGAGCAACGAUACACCUGAUACUCACCCUUCAAUUCUCAGUAUUUGCUGUUAUGAAAUGGCAUGCUGAGAUGUUUUCUCUGGCGAGGCCUGUCCAGUUUAAAUGAAGUAUGGGAAGCAGAUGUUAGUACCUUGUUGGCUGCUAAAGUUAAGAAGUCCUCCCAUGUCUUUUUCUGUUAUGGUUUUUGAACUGCCUAAUUUGGUCUUCAACCACUGUCCAAUCCAAUAAUGUCCUAGCACCUGGUUAUUUGGCUAGAAAGUUGUGGAUAAUCUUUAUGUAAUAACCCUCAUGUUUGACUUCAAGUGAUCCACUCCCCUCCCGAUCUAGGGUAAAUCCAAACAGCUUGAUGAACCGCCCAGUAUUUUCCAAAGGAAAGAUCUCCAUCCCAAAAGCGUGGUACUCUGGAAUAAUAUUGUGUAAGUAAAUGUUUGUCUGUCAGUUCAUUUCUAGUCAGGUUUCAGUUCUUCUCCUGCGCUAAACAUAACUCCAGACUCCGGAGGUCACCCAUCAACUUGUGCUAAUGCAGGAGAAAGAGCUUAAACCCCUCUCUCUGUUCUCAAUGACUCUGCCUUGGCUGUCCAGGCCCACUGCUGCGUGUCAUCAUUAAGCCCAGUAUGACGUCUCUGUUUGUUCUGCCACAGGUGUCCACAGUCUCUGCACCUUCUUCUUCUGAAAUGUGCCACAAGUUCCGCCCUGUCUACUUUAAUUGGCUAUAUUCUGGGACAUAAUGAACAGCAGGAAGUGGUGGAGCUGUGUCUGGGCGAGGUAGACAGAUGGAGAGAGAGGCGAUUAGGUCAGAGUUUUGAUGUGUCUUAGGUGCCAGCCGGAUGGUUAACACCAUUAGGGAUCCAUUAGGGAUGGGAGUCGGAGAGGGUGGUGAUGGUGGUACUGAAGGCUGCUGGGUGCUGGGCUGUAUUCAGAAGCACCACUGUACAUGUGUGUUUCAGCCUUCAUGCAUAUAACAAUUAUAGGACCGCAAAAGGCACCAUGUUGUCUAUCUUUCAGUCAACUCAUUAGGCUUAAGUCGUACUGAAUCUAAAUGUUUAAUGUCUGCUAUCGAGGCCCUGAGUCAUGCUGGAGGAUUUGUCCCAUUCUGGGUGGAUUUUCUGUCUGAUCUCUGAUGCGACUGACCUCAUCUGUUUCUUUAGUAAAAUGCCAGUUGUUGAGCAAUAUGCUCUUCGGUGACUCAAUACCACCUUUCUGUGAUGGCCCACCUGACACCCAAACACACAGUACCCCUGUACCCCUCACCCAUACAGGUGAGCAGCACCCCAGGGUCGUGUGUUAAUGUUGUCACGGUACCAAUAUCACGAUACCAGAUUUUCCAUGACAAAAAGGAAAACCCAAAGCAGACUAAAGUCUAUGGUCCUCUAAUAACCUACUUCAGGUUCAGUAUAGUGUGCUACAGCUUGGAAAUAAACAUGGGAUUCUAUGUGACAUCAUCAGGCUGUUUGUCUCCAACAUUAGGACUGUUUUAUUUCUGAGUACCGCCGUACUGGCAUUGUGACAACCCUAGUGUCUGUGUGUGUCCUCAGGGGGCCCUGUGUGUCUCCCGUGGAUCCUGUACACGUGAGUGUGUGUCCUCAGGGGGCCCUGUGUGUCUCCUGUGGAUCCUGUACACGUGAGUGUGUGUGUGUCCUCAGGGGGCCCUGUGUGUCUCCCGUGGAUCCUGUACACGUGAGUGUGUGUGUCCUCAGGGGGCCCUGUGUGUCUCCCGUGGAUCCUGUACACGUGAGUGUAUGUGAUCACGGGGCCUCUGCUUGGCUUGCGUCCCCUGGGCUUCGCACGUCACAUCCUCAGGAUAGAAAAUAGAUUUGGUUUCACUGGAGACCGGCUGCUAGGGUUGCGUCAAUCAGGAAAGUGCAUUGUCGCCAUGACAACGACCACUCAUCCACCCCAUGCUGGAUCUGAGUCUCUCUCCUCUGUUUUGAAACCGUUCAUAUCUGUCCCUUUAUCCUUCUUCCUCACUUGUUGCUCACCAGCCGUCCACCGUUCUGUCUGUUAUACGUGUUGCCAUGUGGAUCAGCCUCCUCCUUUAUUCCUGUAUGAUAUGUUAGUCAUUCACCUGGCUCUUUCUUCUGGACUCUUCUCUUGUUUUCUCUUAUAAACACCGUACCUUUGGUCCUGCCAUUUUAACUUCUGCUCCUGUGAGCUUCUCCCCUCUCAACCUCUGUACCACACCACUGAGUGGUGAAAGGGCUUUUAGUGCUGCCGUCAUUAUUGAGCCUGGCUAGCAGUGUAAUAGUAAUUACACCCCUGAGUGUAUGAUUAGUGAAACAGCCCCGUGGUAAUCAAAAAGAUGUGUCCAGUCAUACAGUGGGGAGAAAACACCGGCCAGUUUGACUGUUCCAGUACCCCUCCCUCCCUCCCCCUACACCACCAAGGUGUUAACGUAGGCAGAAUGUAUUUUAACUCUUGGAUAAGAAUAGUUCCUCUGCCAAGGCCAGAGUGAUGGGCUGGGUUACAUCACACUGAGAUCAGUGUUUCCCCUACAUCGUUUCCCCCCCUAGGCAGGGUGCAAAUUUCCCCCAAAGCUACACCUAAGGCCACAAACAAACUCCACAACAUUAAUUUCAAACUAAUUUGGUUUUAUGUUUGGGGGAAGAGAGAGGGGAAACACCUAUGUAAUUGUAGGAGAAGUGCUGUGUUGAAGCCUGCUGAUUUGUCCCAUUUCUGGACAUGUAGCCUGUGUUGCGCUGUCACUACUACUGACAGACAGUAUGAAUCAAUCUCAGAUAUCUAAGGUGGAGGCAAAAGGAGUGUCAGGCAGGACAGCUGGAAGGCAAACAUCAAGCCAGUUGAACUGUACUGACUGGAUUCAGUCUUCCACUGGCCUCUCUGUCUGUCUGUCUAUUCAGUCUUCCACUGGCCUCUCUGUCUGUCUGUCUAUUCAGUCUUCCACUGGCCUCUCUGUCUGUCUGUCUAUUCAGUCUUCAACUGGCCUCUCUGUCUGUCUAUUCAGUCUUCCACUGGCCUCUCUGUCUGUCUAUUCAGUCUUCCACUGGCCUCUCUGUCUGUCUGUCUAUUCAGUCUUCCACUGGCCUCUCUGUCUGUCUGUCUGUCCAGUCUUCCACUGGCCUCUCUGUCUGUCUGUCUGUCUAGUCUUCCACUGGCCUCUCUGUCUGUCUGUCUGUCCAGUCUUCCACUGGCCUCUCUGUCUGUCUGUCUGUCCAGUCUUCCACUGGCCUCUCUGUCUGUCUGUCUGUCCAGUCUUCCACUGUUUUCUCCGUCUGUCUGUCCAGUCUUCCACUGGCCUCUCUGUAUUUGUCUUUCUGUUGAGUCUCCUCUCAGCCUCCUAGGGAGAGCCUGGGUCUUAUUAACAGGCAGUGGUCUGUGGCCUUUGCCCCCCACCUGCUGUCACCUGCAGUUGUUAUGACAAUGUGGUUAAAACGGACUAAAACUGUUAGCAGGUCAUAGUUGGGCCACCGUCACUUACAGCUCGAUGACCUAUGGCUUUAAAGAUUUUACAGACUAGCCACGCUACCUUUUCUGCUAGAUGCGAUUAGAUAAGCCUAAUAGAAAAAGCUCAGGAUUGCCCUAGUCUGUUUUGCCAGCUGUGGAGAACUGUAAGCCAGGGGAGCGAUGCUAGGCUGGCCCUUCAAUCCCUCACUCAUCAGUUAUAUAGAUUAUCUUAAUCCUAUCAUGGAACUGUAACAGCAAUGUUUGUGAUAGCUGUAUUGUUACCGUAAUGUUUGUGAUAGCUGUACUGUUACCGUAAUGUUUGUGAUAGCUGUACUGUUACCGUAAUGUUUGUGAUAGCGGUACUGUUACCGUAAUGUUUGUGAUAGCGGUACUGUUACCGUAAUGUUUGUGAUAGCUGUACUGUUACCGUAAUGUUUGUGAUAGCUGUACUGUUACCGUAAUGUUUGUGAUAGCUGUACUGUUACCGUAAUGUUUGUGAUAGCUGUACUGUUACCGUAAUGUUUGUGAUAGCUGUACUGUUACCGUAAUGUUUGUGAUAGCUGUACUGUUACCGUAAUGUUUGUGAUAGCUGUACUGUAACAGUAAAACAAAUUGUCAGACUUCAGCCACCCAAGUCUUCGACUGUUCUCUCUUCUACCGGAGCACCAAGUCUGGGAACAAAAGGCUCCUGAACAGCUUCUACACCAAAGCCAUAAAACUGCUUAACAGUUAAUCAAAUGGCUGCCCGGACUAUUUACAUUGUUUUGUUGCACAUACAUUCUUGCACUGGCUGUAUGUACGCUCACUGGACUCUACCCACACACUCACACAUACUAGACUGGCACACACACAUUCAGUACCAGUCAAAAGUUUGGACACAGCUACUCAUUCCAGGGUUUUUCUUUAUUUUUACUAUUUUCUACCUUGUAAAAUAAUAGUGAAGACAUCAAAACUAUGUGCAAAGCUGUCAUCAAGGCAAAGGGUGGCUACUUUGAAAAUAUAAAAUAUUUGGAUUUGUUUAACACAUGAUUCCAUAUGUUAUUUCAUAGUUUUGAUGUCUUCACUAUUAUUCUACAAUGUAGAAAAUAGUCAAAUAAAGAAAAACCCUGGAAUGAGUAGCUGUCCAAACUUUUGACUGGUAGUGUAUUUGUGAAUAGGCUAACUGACAUGAUAAAUAGUUGUUCCCAGACCACCACAAGAACCCAAUGCCGUAUUUGAGCUUUGUUUAGUUCCUCCUUACCAACAUACUCCUGACAGCAGAGGGGGUUUUAACCCUUUCAUGCGUGAGUUCCAAAUAUCUCUAACGGUCGCCCCAGCGUGAGUUUUUUAUGCACGUGAUGUUAGAAUGUUCUCUCCAUUCCAGAAUGUGAUUGAUACGUAACAGUACAUUUGAUCCGCGCUGCCCUCAAACUAAAGCACGCAGCCUGUUUAUAUUUAUAGGUUGUUUUAACUUCAAUUUCAAAUGAUUUUCAAACAAGUUUUAUUUUCUAAAAACAGUUUGAAUUUAGGUGUGUUCCGCCUCCUCAUUCAUUCACAUAAAAAUAGUCAUUUUUACUUUUGCGGAUAAUUACAUUUUUGGGACAUUUCUGACACGGACAAAAUUCCCCAAGCACUACCCAAUUGUUUGUGCAGUUCACGUCUGCAGACAUUUGCUCAUCUCCCGUCAGAACAGGAUCUGCACACGUGUUCACAUUUUCUAUUCCACAUUUCUAUUGUAGCGUACUGUAUGUAUGGAGCAUAAUAUAUUUGUGUAUAUUCUUUAUCACCGCGGACACGUGAGCUACCAUGGCCUUAUGACUCUCAAGUGGUGCAGCGGUCAAAGGCACAGCACAUCAGUACUAGAGGCGUCACUACAGACUCCCUGGUUCAAAUCCAGGCUGCGUUUCCAUCAAA
Long non-coding RNA from Oncorhynchus nerka (sockeye salmon), 8983 nucleotides. RefSeq lists it as uncharacterized. The transcript has 2 exons. Lineage: Eukaryota; Metazoa; Chordata; Actinopteri; Salmoniformes; Salmonidae. The record is from RefSeq and is a predicted model, not a curated record.